Molecule: ribosomal RNA, 440 nt
Filed under: uncultured bacterium
Lineage: Bacteria
Description: partial 16S ribosomal RNA
Rfam family: Bacterial small subunit ribosomal RNA
Source: RNAcentral
CCUACGGGAGGCAGCAGUGGGGAAUAUUGCACAAUGGGCGAAAGCCUGAUGCAGCGACGCCGCGUGAGGGAUGAAGGAUUUCGGAUUGUAAAGCUCUAUCAGCAGGGAAGAAAAGUAAGUUACCUGACCAACAGUGAAUGGCUAAUAUCGAGAAAGCAGCCGCGGGAAUACGCCUGGGGCCAGGGUUAGCCGGAUUUACUGGGUGUAAAGGGAGCGUAGGUGGGUUGGCGAGUCAGUGGUGAAAGGCCUGGGCUCAACCCAGGGACUGCAUUUGAAACUGUAAGGCUGGAGUGUCGGAGAGGUAAGCGGAAUUCCUGGUGUAGCGGUGAAAUGCGUAGAUAUCAGGAGGAACAUCAGUGGCGAAGGCGGCUUACUGGACGACAACUGACGCUGAGGCUCGAAAGCGUGGGUAGCAAACAGGAUUAGAUACCCGAGUAGUC